RNAcentral lists this ribosomal RNA (531 nucleotides) under uncultured bacterium. RNAcentral describes it as "bacterial SSU rRNA". It matches the Rfam family "Bacterial small subunit ribosomal RNA", at positions 979 to 1509 of the family's 1533-position model. The record is from RNAcentral.
CCUUGACAUACUAAGAACUUUCCAGAGAUGGAUUGGUGCCUUCGGGAACUUAGAUGCAGGUGCUGCAUGGCUGUCGUCAGCUCGUGUCGUGAGAUGUUGGGUUAAGUCCCGNAACGAGCGCAACCCUUUUCCUUAUUUGCCAGCGGGUCAUGCCGGGAACUUUAAGGAUACUGCCAGUGACAAACUGGAGGAAGGCGGGGACGACGUCAAGUCAUCAUGGCCCUUACGGCCAGGGCUACACACGUGCUACAAUGGUCGGUACAAAGGGUUGCUACCUCGCGAGAGGAUGCUAAUCUCAAAAAGCCGAUCGUAGUCCGGAUCGCAGUCUGCAACUCGACUGCGUGAAGUCGGAAUCGCUAGUAAUCGCGGAUCAGAAUGCCGCGGUGAAUACGUUCCCGGGCCUUGUACACACCGCCCGUCACACCAUGGGAGUUUGUUGCACCAGAAGUAGGUAGUCUAACCGCAAGGAGGACGCUUACCACGGUGUGGCCGAUGACUGGGGUGAAGUCGUAACAAGGUAGGCGUAGAUGA